RNAcentral lists this ribosomal RNA (468 nucleotides) under uncultured bacterium. RNAcentral's name for it is "partial 16S ribosomal RNA". It matches the Rfam family "Bacterial small subunit ribosomal RNA", at positions 28 to 507 of the family's 1533-position model. The record is from RNAcentral.
GACGAACGCUGGCGGCGUGCUUAACACAUGCAAGUCGAACGGAAAGGCCCUGCUUUUGCGGGGUGCUCGAGUGGCGAACGGGUGAGUAACACGUGAGUAACCUGCCCUUGACUUUGGGAUAACUUCAGGAAACUGGGGCUAAUACCGGAUAGGAGCUCCUGCUGCAUGGGGGGGGUUGGAAAGUUUCGGCGGUUGGGGAUGGACUCGCGGCUUAUCAGCUUGUUGGUGGGGUAGUGGCUGACCAAGGCUUUGACGGGUAGCCGGCCUGGGAGGGUGACCGGCCACAUUGGGACUGAGAUACGGCCCAGACUCCUACGGGAGGCAGCAGUGGGGAAUAUUGCACAGUGGGCGGAAGCCUGAUGCAGCAACGCCGCGUGCGGGAUGACGGCCUUCGGGUUGUAAACCGCUUUCGCCUGUGACGAAGCGUGAGUGACGGUACUGGAUAAAGAAGCACCGGCUAACUACGUG